AUGGGCCCACAGUUCUUGCGGGAGGGCAUUCUAUUGGCCAAUUUAUGCACGAUUUGGGGUUUUUCUUUGGUCCCAAUCAAUGUCUUCCUGUAGUGGAGAAGGCAUUCAGGGUCGUAAAGGGUCUUUCGUCAGGUGAACAAACAGUUUAGGCUAAUCAUCCCGCAGCUAAAUGACGGUACUGGAAGAAUCAGCUCAGGCUUUAUACGUUCCAGCAGCCGCGCUAAUACGUCGGGUGCAAGCGUUAAUCAGGAUUACUGAGCGUAAAGCGUGCGCAGGCGGUUGUGUAAGUCUGUUGUGAAAUCCCCGGGCUUAACCUGGGAAUGGCAAUGGAGACUGCAAGGCUAGAGUUUGGCAGAGGGGGGUAGAAUUCCACGUGUAGCAGUGAAAUGCGUAGAGAUGUGGAGGAACACCGAUGGCGAAGGCAGCCCCCUGGGUCAAGACCGACUCUCAUGCACGAAAGCGUGGGGAGCAAACAGGAUUAGAUACCCUGGUAGUCCACGCCCUAAACGAUGUCUACUAGAUGUCGGGUCUUAAUUGACUUGGUAACGCAGCUAACGCGUGAAGUAGUCCGCCUGGGGAGUACGGUCGCAAGAUUAAAACUCAAAGGAAUUGACGGGGACCCGCACAAGCGGUGGAUGAUGUGGAUUAAUUCGAUGCAACGCGAAAAACCUUACCUACCCUUGACAUGGCAGGAAUCCUGAAGAGAUUUGGGAGUGCUCGAAAGAGAACCUGCACACAGGUGCUGCAUGGCUGUCGUCAGCUCGUGUCGUGAGAUGUUGGGUUAAGUCCCGCAACGAGCGCAACCCUUGUCAUUAGUUGCUACGAAAGAGCACUCUAAUGAGACUGCCGGUGACAAACCGGAGGAAGGUGGGGAUGACGUCAAGUCCUCAUGGCCCUUAUGGGUAGGGCUUCACACGUCAUACAAUGGUACAUACAGAGGGCCGCCAACCCGCGAGGGGGAGCUAAUCCCAGAAAGUGUAUCGUAGUCCGGAUUGUAGUCUGCAACUCGACUGCAUGAAGUUGGAAUCGCUAGUAAUCGCGGAUCAGCAUGUCGCGGGGAAUACGUUCCCGGGUCUUGUACACACCGCCCGUCACACCAUGGGAGCGGGUUUUACCAGAAGUAGGUAGCUUAACCGCAAGGAGGGCGCUACCACAGUAGGAUUCGAAUGGU
RNAcentral lists this ribosomal RNA (1171 nucleotides) under uncultured bacterium. RNAcentral describes it as "bacterial SSU rRNA". It matches the Rfam family "Bacterial small subunit ribosomal RNA". The record is from RNAcentral.